UGGUAUAUGUGACAGCAACAAUCUAAUUGAUGCUGGGUUCGUGUUGGGCGGGCACUUGUUGAACGGCCACCAUGCGCCGGUAGAGUGUGCACUCUCGAAAAAACAAUCAGGGGAAAUGCAAAGAAGACUGGAAGUGUUGUAACGCCUGAACUCGGCAGGAGCUUCGGUUCAUUAGGCGAAGCGUAUAACUACUACAAUAUGUACUUCUAGGAAAUUGGAUUUGGAAUCAAGUAGUGAUGUGACCUAUGAUUUACGGAUCAGCUGCUGAAGAUAAUUAAUAUCUUACUUUUUCAGGAGUUUUAUCAUAAUUGCCACAUGAAUGUCAAGUCAUAUACCCGUGACAGCGGUUUGUGUUCGCAGGGGAGAACAUCACUACCGAGUCAGUCACUGUGAGGCCUACAAUUCAACUGCAAAAGGCGCCCAACGAUGAGUGCCCUUCAGUCUCGCUUCCGUCCUCGACGGUGUGUGUUUGGAAUUUUUUCUUAAAGGAAAAAUGCUUUCAAGGGAUGAGGGCAUACCACAGUGUUUGGAUUGGAGGGAACAUCCUUGCAUCUCUUGAGUCGUUCCAGCAAGUUGCUAGAUGGGUGUAGAGUCAUAUACUAGAAACCGCCGCGUGGUGUGCGUGGGGGAGAACUUUGCCAGGUGGUCCUUCGGUGUGUGGCCUACUUCAACUGCAAAAUGCACCCACCGGUUGGUCCUAGCAUCUACCCUCGUGUGCACGUGGAUCUGCUACUCUUGUCGGCAUCCCCGGCGGUUGUCGUCAUGGUCACCCCGAUGAAGGUUUCUGGGUGCCAACCGUAGCCUCCCAGUGUGUGCGCAGUUGAAGGCUUUGGUUCGGUGCCCAUGGCAUCAUGCGCAUCCGCCUCCCGUCAUGCAAUAGCAGAGAUAAGCCUCCAUAUGAUGAUCACAGGGCAAGAAAUGUAAUGGUGUGCCUAGAGCAGCAGCUCCAGUUGCGGUACAAGCAAGCGUAUACAGUUCUGCGGUAUAUGCCGGCUACAAGGGCACAAGAACACCACUUGACCCCAGAUCCUAAGGAGUCUAAAUGCUCAAACUGCUGAGUCAGGCGGUCAUCGAAAGAACACAUGCAACAAUCCUAAGGUCGUCUUGCAUGUUGUGGAUAAUGGUAACCUUGACGGUCUCUGCCUGGGCGCUUAGCGAAGUUCACCGGUGGGCUCAAUCGUUCUGCGCAUCAAGUUCAAUUUUUUCCCUGUAGGGUGAGCGUUCAGUAGCCGUAACAGCAUAUCAUAAGCAUGUAAUCUGCGUAUAGUAAGGCAAGUUAUGUGUUUGUGUACCAAAAAAUGUAGCUGCCUGUGUAACAGCCGCAUCAACCCUGGUGUUGCUUUGCAUUUGGUGGAUGAACUGUGUUAUUAUUGGAUCUGACUUAGGAUUUGUUUUUCAUAUAUUUGCAUGUUGACUAUCCCAAAAAAAUCCAUGAAAUGCAGAAGGGUGAGGUUAGGUGU
Triticum aestivum (bread wheat) is the source of this 1460-nucleotide long non-coding RNA. RefSeq lists it as uncharacterized. The transcript has 3 exons. The record is from RefSeq and is a predicted model, not a curated record. Lineage: Eukaryota; Viridiplantae; Streptophyta; Magnoliopsida; Poales; Poaceae.